This 564-nucleotide ribosomal RNA is filed under the name Amycolatopsis sp. 337C09. RNAcentral describes it as "bacterial SSU rRNA". It matches the Rfam family "Bacterial small subunit ribosomal RNA", at positions 93 to 671 of the family's 1533-position model. The record is from RNAcentral. RNAcentral also lists the same sequence under 2 other names. Lineage: Bacteria; Bacillati; Actinomycetota; Actinomycetes; Pseudonocardiales; Pseudonocardiaceae.
GAGUGGCGAACGGGUGAGUAACACGUGGGUAAUCUGCCCUGCACUCUGGGAUAAGCCUUGGAAACGGGGUCUAAUACCGGAUAUCACAACUUCAGGCAUCUGGGGUUGUUGAAAGUUCUGGCGGUGCAGGAUGAACCCGCGGCCUAUCAGCUUGUUGGUGGGGUAAUGGCCUACCAAGGCGACGACGGGUAGCCGGCCUGAGAGGGUGACCGGCCACACUGGGACUGAGACACGGCCCAGACUCCUACGGGAGGCAGCAGUGGGGAAUAUUGCACAAUGGGCGAAAGCCUGAUGCAGCGACGCCGCGUGAGGGAUGACGGCCUUCGGGUUGUAAACCUCUUUCGCCAGGGACGAAGCGCAAGUGACGGUACCUGGAUAAGAAGCACCGGCUAACUACGUGCCAGCAGCCGCGGUAAUACGUAGGGUGCGAGCGUUGUCCGGAAUUAUUGGGCGUAAAGAGCUCGUAGGCGGUUUGUCGCGUCGGCCGUGAAAUCUCCACGCUUAACGUGGAGCGUGCGGUCGAUACGGGCAGACUUGAGUUCGGUAGGGGAGACUGGAAUUCCU